GACGUAGGGUGCAAGCGUUGUCCGGAUUUAUUGGGCGUAAAGAGCUCGUAGGCGGCUCGUCGCGUCGACCGUGAAAACCUGCAGCUUAACUGUGGGCGUGCGGUCGAUACGGGCAUCACUGGAGUUCGGCAGGGGAGACUGGAAUUCCUGGUGUAGCGGUGAAAUGCGCAGAUAUCAGGAGGAACACCGGUGGCGAAGGCGGCCUGCUGGGCAGUGGCUGACGCUGAGGCGCGACAGCGUGGGGAGCAAACAGG
Molecule: ribosomal RNA, 254 nt
Filed under: uncultured bacterium
Lineage: Bacteria
Description: partial 16S ribosomal RNA
Rfam family: Bacterial small subunit ribosomal RNA
Source: RNAcentral